RNAcentral lists this long non-coding RNA (373 nucleotides) under Prunus persica (peach). RNAcentral describes it as "long non-coding RNA (PPER_LNC003769)". The record is from RNAcentral. Lineage: Eukaryota; Viridiplantae; Streptophyta; Magnoliopsida; Rosales; Rosaceae.
AACAUUUGAACUCUACCUUUAUCUUCUUCUUCUUCUCUGGCCAUAUCUUUCAGUCGCAGACAAGAGAUGUAAAUUUGAGUAUUUGGGGGGUUGGUUUUUAUUUUGUAUGGUGGGGCCUACCUAACGGGACAAGGCUUAGUAAUUAAGGUUAGCCUAAUUUUGUUUUUGUUUUUUGUUUUUGUUUUUUCCCUCCCUUAUCUUUUUCACAUGCUUAGUGAUAAGGUUAAUAAUGCAGUUGCAGUUUCAUUUUGUUGUUUUGCUGCAGUGGAUAUGAUUGUGUUUUGAUGAUUCGAUCAAUGACAAGUGGCUUAAUCUAAUAGGAAAGUUGAAAGAGGAAGAUAAGAAGAACCAAAUUUUAGAUACCCAAAGCGCU